Long non-coding RNA from Tupaia belangeri chinensis (Chinese tree shrew), 217 nucleotides. RefSeq lists it as uncharacterized. The record is from RefSeq and is a predicted model, not a curated record. The transcript has 3 exons. NCBI's taxonomy places the organism in Eukaryota, Metazoa, Chordata, Mammalia, Scandentia, Tupaiidae.
GGCAGAGGAGAAACAGACGAAUGCACAAGAUGGCGGGUGCCUGAGCAGGAGGAAGAGGAGCGAGAGAGCGUGUCUGCUAUACUCCGUAAUCUUCACCUGAGUGGUGUUGGAUGCUGGUGACCUGGCAAUACUCGUUUGGAGCCUGACAAAAUCUGAGCUGUCACCCAAGAUGCCCAGAAGAGCAGAAUGGAGCGGAGUGGAGUAGAGGGCGGCAGAA